GCCAGUGUGGCAUAGUGGUUAAGGAGCAGGACUUCUAACCAGAAGGUUAUCGGUUCAAUUCCCCACUUGGGCA
Molecule: non-coding RNA, 73 nt
Organism: Megalops atlanticus (tarpon)
Lineage: Eukaryota; Metazoa; Chordata; Actinopteri; Elopiformes; Megalopidae
Source: the annotation of a GenBank genome assembly